UAGGGAAUCUUCCGCAAUGGACGAAAGUCUGACGGAGCAACGCCGCGUGAGUGAUGAAGGAUUUCGGAUCGUAAAGCUCUGUUGUUAGGGAGGAACAAGUACCUGUUAAAUAAGCAGGUACCUUGACGGUACCUAACCAGAAAGCCACGGCUAACUACGUGCCAGCAGCCGCGGUAAUACGUAGGUGGCAAGCGUUGUCCGGAACUAUUGGGUGUAAAGCGCGCGCAGGCGGUUCCUUAAGUCUGAUGUGAAAGCCCACGGCUCAACCGUGGAGGGUCAUUGGAAACUGGGGAACUUGAGUGCAGAAGAGGAGAGCGGAAUACCACGUGUAGCGGUGAAAUGCGUAGAGAUGUGGAGGAACACCAGUGGCGAAGGCGGCUCUCUGGUCUGUAACUGACGCUGAGGCGCGAAAGCGUGGGAGCGAACAG
This 428-nucleotide ribosomal RNA is filed under the name uncultured bacterium. Its description in RNAcentral is "bacterial SSU rRNA". It matches the Rfam family "Bacterial small subunit ribosomal RNA", at positions 355 to 775 of the family's 1533-position model. The record is from RNAcentral.